Molecule: ribosomal RNA, 228 nt
Filed under: Triticum aestivum (bread wheat)
Lineage: Eukaryota; Viridiplantae; Streptophyta; Magnoliopsida; Poales; Poaceae
Description: partial small subunit ribosomal RNA
Source: RNAcentral
AUGAAGAGAGACACGAACGGGCUAUUCAUGAUGGGAAAAGUUUUGAUGAGGUUAGUGCUGCCUCAUCAAUUUACAGAAUCUUACGUUUAUGGAUCCUAUGUUUUCUUUUUCUUGGUUAUAUCUUGGUUUCCUUUCCUGAAUAUGAAAUAUGUGGUUUGUGUACUUCUUAUAAACAGAGAUGUGUUGCUCCUUCUGCAUACUUCUAUUCCUUUUUUUUUCAAAAUUUGA